This 1303-nucleotide unclassified non-coding RNA is filed under the name Hevea brasiliensis (rubber tree). Lineage: Eukaryota; Viridiplantae; Streptophyta; Magnoliopsida; Malpighiales; Euphorbiaceae. The record is from RNAcentral.
UUUAUAUUCUCAAUAAUUUCAACGAGACAAAUUACAAUGAACCAUCUCAGCCAUGUUUAAGAAGGGUAUUCAAAUGAUGAUCAAAUUUCUACCAAAGCAAUUAAAACAUACUCCAGCAAGGAAAUAUCAGAAGGACCCCUGGCAAGGUCAAAAAUUCAAAAUUAAAAUUGUAGGACUGGCAGCCUGUUACAAGCAAUUUUUCUCAACCAUUUGGCUAUGGACCAAUGAUGUUUUGAAUUGAAUGCUAUGCUAAGUUAGAAAAGUAGAAUUGUGAACUAGAUAGAUUGCUAACUGAAAGGAAUGAUAAAAAAAAAAAAAAUCAAGUUAGUUAAGCUCUGCUUUGUCGUGUUCUUUCAGUUAUUUGUCUUGUAUUUUUAGGAGUCCAGGGCAACGGCUUCAGGAAGCGGACGCAGUUGAAGAGAUGCCAUCUGGGCUUUAAGUGCAAUGUGGGAUGGACCAGCCAACAUCUCCUUGAAAAUCCCUUUUCCUACAAUUCCAAGUACCUUCCUCACUUCAUUCGCUAGCCCAAUCACCAUAUCAUCCUCAUGCCCAAUAUCAUACAUGGCUUUCUCUAGCAGGAACAGAUAGUCUCUGUUGUUCCCGCAAGGUCCAUAUGCAGUCGCAAUUUGCCUAGCCAUUUCAUCCAAAGGGGCAGGCCCCAAGUAGUACUUGUUUGAAAUUUUAUCCGGAGUGGAGGUGAAAACUAUGACUCCUGCUAUAGCAGGCUCUGAUGGAUCCGCUUCCUUGUAAAAGUCUACCAGGGAUUUUUUAUCAUAUUCACAUUCUCUCCGCUCCAGAUACUCCAUUGCCAGUCUUUCCUUUUCAGGUCCUCCACGAACACAAUAAGCAGCACCCCAGCAAACAGCUCCUUCAAAAUUUUCCAAUGUGCAAGUUCUUGCAGGACGAUCAGGUGUACCUCUGUGAUCAAUGCAAGCAAGAUCAAAUACACGCCUAUAAUCCUUGAUGAAGCCUAUAACUUUCUCAUCGUAUUCAAAUCCUGGGUUCCACACCAAUGAACCAUAGCCAAAAACCCAGAACACCAUCUCUAUAUACCUCAAGAAGAUCGACAAGCGCCCCUAAAAAGGAAUCGGCGAGGAAGUGUAGGUAGAUAUUCGCCGAUCUGGAGGAGCAAGCUGAAAUAUUGAAGAUUGCGAAGGUAAUAAGCGAUAAAGAGAACAAGGAAAGAGAGAAAUAAAAGCUAAACGAUGAAGGUUUAGCUUAGAUUUCAGGAUUCUCUCUUUCUUUCUGUUAAUCCUCUCGAAGUCUCCGUGCUUUAUCCAGGUUUCGACGGGUUGGCCAGGAU